This is a long non-coding RNA of Raphanus sativus (radish), 3955 nucleotides long. RefSeq lists it as uncharacterized. NCBI's taxonomy places the organism in Eukaryota, Viridiplantae, Streptophyta, Magnoliopsida, Brassicales, Brassicaceae. The record is from RefSeq and is a predicted model, not a curated record. The transcript has 8 exons.
UUGGCUAUUCUUUUUUCUUUUGCCUUCUCUCUCUUCCUCUUCUUCGUCUCUUCGUCUUCUUUCUUUGUUUUUCUUUUUGAUCUGAGAAAUCGAUCGGGACGUCGGGUGGGGAUCGUUUUCGGUCGUGUAGAUGGAACGUGGUUGUUAUCAAGGAGAUCGCCAUGGAGAUUGCGAUGUCGGAGAUUUUCAUCUCGAGGGAGAAGUCGCGAUUUUCAUAAGGUCCGAAGAAGCUCAACCAUGUAAAAGCUUCCAUGAGAGAGGCGAAGUCAGGGAGACGACCAAGAGGAGAAGGUUUGUUAGCUUAACUUCCUAUUUACAGAAUUAAUAACCUGUAUGAAAAGCACUAUCUUUGCUUCUGCUUGAUCGGAUUGUUUUGGGCUUCACAAGAAGAUUAAAAUUUGUUAAGGCUCUGUGAUAGUUUCGAAAUUUAGUUCCAUUUUAAACCAAGGUUUUAAUUUUUAUUUUCUUUCUCGCUCUGUUUGUUUUAAUGCUUUGUGUACGAGUCUGUAAUGGUUAAAGUAUGUUUCUCUUUUGCUGGUUAAACAUUGUGAUGGUUUGCUUAUGUUCACUGUCUUGCUUUGUAUGUUGGAAAGUCUGCUUGUAUUCACUCACAGUCUCGUUUUACAGUAGAAGUGAGUCUACUUUUGAUUUGGCACCAAUGCAGACAAACCCGAGAUCACUGUCUUGUUAGACUUGUGUCUGCUUGUGUUCCACCAUUCAUGAUCGAUAUAAAGUAGAAAGAGUUGUGUCUGCUUGUCAUUAUAAUAUGGUCUUUUGUUUCCUGAUCGUUUCACUUCUUGUCUCGCUUGCUUAUUGUAUCUUCUUGCUUUUGUGGUGUUCUGAUGUAUAUUUUGUAUCUUUUGUUGAAAUCAGUAGAGGGUAGUUUUUUAUUGUUGUUAUAAAAAAAAUUUAAGGUUCUCCAUUGGACAAGGAGAAAUUUAAUUAGACUAACAUAGGUUCUAAACUAUUCAAAUCACAAAAUCAAUUACUAAUUUAUUCAUUAGAACCCCUAAGGGUCUCUAACCAAUGGAGGUAGUCUUAGUCUCUUCGUCUCGAUCUCUCCUCCGUUGUGUUUGAGGGUCAGUUUCUUCAUGGCUUCCACCGGACAAACCUUCAAUCAUCGUCGUACAUGGACAGCCGAGUUAAAUCUCUUGUCUUAGUUCUUUUUUAGGAUUUUGAUUUGUCUUGAGUAUCUGUUUCUGUGUCUAGAGUUCCUGUCUUGAGUCUCUUUUUCUGUUACACACAAUCGAUUAUCUCUGCUGAUAUUCUCAGCUAGGGUUUCUCUCUUAGGGUGUUGAAUAUCUGACUUAUAAUAUCCUCUCUGGUAUUUGAUUUAUCUUGUUCUAUGUGUAAUGGUUCUUUGUAUCUGGUCUUCAAUAUCUUGUUUAUCUUGUUCUGAUUUAACUUGUCUCUGGUCUUAAUUAUCUUGCUCUGUGUUAUAGCCUUAUUAUAGUAGCUAGUUUAUAUUGGGGUUCUUGUUAAUACUCUUUGUGUUACAAUUUGGUUCUUUGUGUAAUGGUUUAUGUGUUAUGAGGUGGGAGGAGGGGGAGAGGGCUUGGAGCAUCUCUUCAAUUUUAAGGAUUUCGUUGUCAAGAAACUGAGAGAUUUCUGGAUAGAAGCUCUAUAUGCGUUUCAUACUUUGGUUGAAGAUGGAAGCUCUGUGUGCGUUUCAGGAUUUGGAGUUAACUGCUCUCACUCAGUUAGAGAAGUUCCUCAGCUUAGUUUCAGUCUUUGAUUUAGCUUUGGGGAGAUUAUGAAAGAUGUUGAGAUCUUUGGUAAAACUCUCCUCUCUGUCGUUACUCUCGUGCUGCACAUCAGUCGUAGAGCUUAUGUUAGGUGUAGCCAUUAAGGCCAGUUCAACAGACAAGAUCUGCUUUGCUAGCUUAUCAGCUUCAACAUUUCUCACACGAGAAAUCCAAUGGAAAGAAAUACAUUCAAAAGAAGAUGCUAAAGAGAGAAUGUCGACUAAGAUCCCAUAGAGACCGGUCAAUGAUGAUUCCGUUUUGAGAGCCUUGAUCAGUACUGCCGAGUCCGAUUCGCAUCUAACCCUUGAGAGACCGAGUUCCUUGCAUUUUUCUAGAGCUUCUCUUAAGGCCAGAGCUUCUGCUGCUAGUGGUGAACUCACAUGGUGAGCAGGAACAGAGUAAGAGGAGACCCUGUUUUGUGAUUGCACUGUCCAACCAAGACCUGCAAUUCUUUGCUCUUCAUGCCAAGCGGCAUCUGAUUUGAUAAGGCAGCAGUUCGGUGGCAUAGUAAGCGGGGGAUUCAGUGGACGAGAUGCAGCUAGUGUUUUGUUCAUGAUUUGUUUUUGUAAAAGAAACAGAGGCUAUCCUGGCCUUGUACUCAUAUUUUUCAUUGAUUUGUUCAUAGCUCUAUGAUUUCUAAACGGAUCACCAUCACGGACAAGAUGACCAAUUUAAAGCUUUGGAGAAGCUGGGUUUUCAACAAAAAUUACAGUGUUUGUAGAUCUUUUUGUAUUUAGUUUUUACAAUGUUAGCAUUUAGUAUUAAACAAGUUAAUGUUUGUUCAAUUAUGUUUGAAAUUAAAUUAAUUUUCAUUUUUUCAUUUUGAGAAUUAAUUAUAAUUUUAAAUAAAUUAUAUUUUAAAUUCAUUAUUUAACUUAUAAUUUGGCUACAAAUGGUCUGUAGCUAUAUAAAGCAAUAUAAUAAGUUGUAGCUAUAUUGUUGAUAUUGGCUACAGAAACAGUUAUUGCUAGUUCAUUGCUAAAUAGCUACAAAAUGGCUGCGAAUCGAGUUUAGCACCGGCUCUGAGGCCAAAUAGUUAAUUUGUUGCUAUAUGUAGCUGAGCUGAUUUUAGCUACAGAUUGUAUGUGAUAGCUACAAAAUAAUCGGUAGCUAUUUAAGUAAAUUCUUGUAGUGAGAUAAAGUUGAUCCCAGCUGAUAAUAACAAGGAGUCUCCAGAUUCGUUGUCUCAUACAGCUUCCACUUCAAAAGUUUUUUAUGUCAAAAUCUCUCUCUCUAUCUUUCCUCUGACUAUAAGAAUUUGUUCUUCUUUAUGGAUUCGUUAACCCUAUGUAUAAGAGUAUGAGUUUUAGUUUACUGCAGUAUAUUCUCUUGAGAUGUUGAUUUGGGGUUUUUGAUCAGGUUUUAGGAGAGAUUGUUGGAUCCAAUAGAAGCAAACAUGAUUAAGCUUGCAGCAGUAAAAAACUUAAUAGAGAAGUGUGAUGGCAAAUGUGACAAUAAGGACGAUGUAAACCCUCCUGAGGCCCCCACAAGAUUUCAUUUAUGUUAGAGCUAGAAGGGGUCAUGAAACAAGUUGACACAGGCUCACUGAAAGAAAACUCAUACCUUCGAGAAACAUGUUUAUUUUUUUGUCCAUUUUUUCUGUUCAACUUUACAGUGUUGAUGUUUGUAUUUGGUUAUCAGGCAAAAGGAAAAUAUAUCAGCAAGAGGAUGACUUUACUUCAGGAUAUGGUUCCUGGUUGCAACCGGAUAACAGGGAAAGCGGUAAUGCUUGAUAAAAUCAUCGAAUAUGUUUCAGAGACAAGUCGAGUUCUUUUCUAUGAAGCUGGCUACUAUAAAUCCCAGGGUGGAGUAAAACCAUGAUGCUGCUUUAUCCACAUAGCUUGCUCAGAGCAAAGACUUCCGUCAUGAUACUAUUUUCUUACCAAGAACAUGCCUAGAUUCUCAGACGCACAAUUCCCCUCGAGUGAUGGAUUUGUUCAAGCCAAGACACACAGAUCCUGAAAAAAAAAAAAUUUGCAAAGCAUUGUUAAGAUGGCUUUUGGAGAUGUCCAGCAACAGAGCAACAACAACAGUUGUAAGAGAAGAUUUACAGCCAAAUUCUCCAAUAAGAAACGUGAUCCAGUGGGCAAAAAGGAGAGAAUAACCUCGCACUCUUUGUUUAAAAGUUGUGUUGACCACAUUGAGAUAAGUCUCCAUUUUGUUUUUGAAACCGAGAAGUCUCAACUUUGGAUUUAAAAGUUGUGUUGACC